GAGUAGGGUUAGGGUUAGGGUAGGGUUAGGAGUAGGGUUAGGGUAUUCCUAACCCAACCCUAACCCUACUCCUAAACCAACCCUAACCCU
Non-coding RNA from Pelobates cultripes (western spadefoot toad), 90 nucleotides. The record is from the annotation of a GenBank genome assembly. NCBI's taxonomy places the organism in Eukaryota, Metazoa, Chordata, Amphibia, Anura, Pelobatidae.